Thamnophis elegans (Western terrestrial garter snake) is the source of this 1390-nucleotide long non-coding RNA. RefSeq lists it as uncharacterized. The record is from RefSeq and is a predicted model, not a curated record. The transcript has 2 exons. NCBI's taxonomy places the organism in Eukaryota, Metazoa, Chordata, Lepidosauria, Squamata, Natricidae.
AAUUGGGAGAAAUGAGAAGGAGGAGGUAUGUGGGGAUUCCUUUUCAGGAAAAGUACCCGAAAUUAGUUUGCUGAAAUAAGAAGCAGUUGGUGAGUAUUUUGACCGCUUUAAAGAAAAAAUUCUUUUGGACAAAGGAGAUGUUAACUAUUUGUAGGUGUUUACUUCAUAGAGGAACUGUUCCUUGGUUAUGUUGGAUAGAAGAACCAGGAGAUGGUGGUAAAAGGUAAAAGAGGAUAGGAACCUUCAUGAUUUGGGUACAAAGUGAUGGUGAGUAUUUGUACAACAUAAAAGAGGAGAGGGACAUCUAUGAUUUGGGGAAAAGGAGAUGGUAAGUAUUUGGACAACGUAAAAAAGCACAGGAACUUAUAUGAUGUUGGGAAAAGACCAGAAGAUGGUGAGUAUUUGUACAACCUUUGGCCAAUCACCAGGGAAGGAUGAUUUCCAUUCUUCCAAUAUGUUUGGUGAGUUCCUGUCCUUCAAUUGGCUGAGUGACUUUGUGCCAAUCAGACGGAGAAGGUGAGUUCUAUUCCUGCAAUUCUCUCAACGGAGACCUUGGACCAAUAGCCUAAAAAUGGUUAUUUCUCUUCCUAUAUUAGGCAUGGUGAGUUCUAGUCCUGGAAUACUCAUGAGAAGCAGCUGUAUCACCUUGAGCCAAUCCCCAGGCGAUGAGAGGGCCAUCCUAGUGACCUUAGGCCAACCCUUCCUUCUCAGCCCUAGAAAGGAGGCAAGGGCAAUCCACUCCUGGAAACCUUGCCUGGACUUGGUCAGACUGUCUUCGAGAACUGGACCCGACUGAACGGAAGGGAAAAAGAGGAACAGAUGAAGAAGAUGGAAGGGACCCUCCUCAGCGCAUCCUGUCCUGGCUCAGACCCCAGUGAGGCUGGGCAGAGGCCCCUUCGACCCCCAAGAGACCAACGACCCCCAUUGGGUGAUGCAAAGUCAGCGACUGAAGUGGGACCCAUUUCACCAGGCGAUUGCAGAAGGAGAUAAACCCACUUGAUGCUGCCCCGUAUCGUCCGACAAGCGUAGAGUCCCCACAACCCAUGAAUCCAAAUGGAACUAAUCUGGGCAUGCUGGCUGGGAAUUCUGGGAGUUGAAGUCCAUGCAUCUCAAAGUCACCAAGUUGGAGAUUUGAGGCUCCAGGUGUCUGCAGGGAGCUGACUUUCCCCAACAGAAUAAUCAAAAUAAAUAAGGAAGGAACAGAUCAGGGGCAUCCAGGAGAAUGUCUGAACAUACAGCUACCCACGAGGGCAUCUCUGCCACCCUAACCCGAUUCCUGGCACAGCACCUCUUUUCCCAAUGACCUGACCGCUUCACAGAAGAAGUCUACCUGGACUCGUCUCGAUGGGAUUCUUAAUUUAUUCCUAAUAAAUGUGCCAAGAGAAAUCAU